This 420-nucleotide ribosomal RNA is filed under the name uncultured eukaryote. Its description in RNAcentral is "SSU rRNA". It matches the Rfam family "Eukaryotic small subunit ribosomal RNA", at positions 592 to 1017 of the family's 1831-position model. The record is from RNAcentral.
UAAUAGCGUAUAUUAAAGUUGUUGCAGUUAAAAGCUCGUAGUCGGAUGUCGGGCUCGGGCAGGCUGUCGGCUUCGGUCGGACGGCAGGCUCGGGUCUUUCUGCCUGAGGAUCCCGUUCGUCACUUAAUUUGAUGGGGCGGUGGGGACGGCAGGCCCGUUUUACUUUGAAAAAUUAGAGUGUUCAAAGCAGGCCUACGCUUGAAUACAUUAGCAUGGAAUAAUGGAAUAGGACUUUGGUGCUAUUUUGUUGGUUUAUGGGACCGAAGUAAUGAUUAACAGGGACAGUUGGGCCGUUUAUAUUUCGUUGUCAGAGGUGAAAUUCUUGGAUUUACGAAAGAUAAACUUCUGCGAAAGCAUUCGGCAAGGAUGUUUUCAUUGAUCAAGAACGAAAGUUAGGGGAUCGAAGACGAUCAGAUACCA